This is a small nucleolar RNA of Capra hircus (goat), 126 nucleotides long. The record is from Ensembl. Lineage: Eukaryota; Metazoa; Chordata; Mammalia; Artiodactyla; Bovidae.
CCCCCCCUCUUCCCUUUUCCAUCAAAUCUGAACCCUGGUCUUGGUGGUCAUAAAAGGAGGCACAGUGGUACUGAAGCUGUGCUUAUAGUAUCUGCUGUAUAGCAUAUGGGCUACUUUCAAACAAGG